RNAcentral lists this ribosomal RNA (739 nucleotides) under uncultured bacterium. RNAcentral describes it as "bacterial SSU rRNA". It matches the Rfam family "Bacterial small subunit ribosomal RNA", at positions 60 to 768 of the family's 1533-position model. The record is from RNAcentral.
AGUCGACGAACUUCUUUAUCACCGAGUGCUUGCACUCACCGAUAAAGAGUUGAGUGGCGAACGGGUGAGUAACACGUGGGCAACCUGCCCAAAAGAGGGGGAUAACACUUGGAAAUAGGUGCUAAUACCGCAUAACCAUAGUUACCGCAUGGUAACUAUGUAAAAGGUGGCUAUGCUACCGCUUUUGGAUGGGCCCGCGGCGCAUUAGCUAGUUGGUGGGGUAAAGGCUUACCAAGGCAAUGAUGCGUAGCCGAACUGAGAGGUUGAUCGGCCACAUUGGGACUGAGACACGGCCCAAACUCCUACGGGAGGCAGCAGUAGGGAAUCUUCCACAAUGGGCGAAAGCCUGAUGGAGCAACGCCGCGUGGGUGAAGAAGGUCUUCGGAUCGUAAAACCCUGUUGUUAGAGAAGAAAGUGCGUGAGAGUAACUGUUCACGUUUCGACGGUAUCUAACCAGAAAGCCACGGCUAACUACGUGCCAGCAGCCGCGGUAAUACGUAGGUGGCAAGCGUUAUCCGGAUUUAUUGGGCGUAAAGGGAACGCAGGCGGUCUUUUAAGUCUGAUGUGAAAGCCUUCGGCUUAACCGGAGUAGUGCAUUGGAAACUGGGAGACUUGAGUGCAGAAGAGGAGAGUGGAACUCCAUGUGUAGCGGUGAAAUGCGCAGAUAUAUGGAAGAACACCAGUGGCGAAAGCGGCUCUCUGGUCUGUAACUGACGCUGAGGUUCGAAAGCGUGGGUAG